GCAAAGGGGUGGCGGAUCUAGCAAGGGAAUGGCGAUGCGAGAACUUUGGCAGUGCGGGGAUGGCGAAGGGGGAGGCAGCAGCACGUGGACAAGGAGGGCAUGAGCAGGGGAACCAAGAGGGGACACGGUGCAAGGAAUCCGGCAAGCAGACGGCAACAAUGAAGAAGCAACAUAGGGAUGUCGGUAGGCACUAGGAGAGGG
RNAcentral lists this long non-coding RNA (201 nucleotides) under Elaeis guineensis (African oil palm). RNAcentral describes it as "long non-coding RNA (EGUI_LNC036921)". The record is from RNAcentral. Lineage: Eukaryota; Viridiplantae; Streptophyta; Magnoliopsida; Arecales; Arecaceae.